Molecule: unclassified non-coding RNA, 395 nt
Filed under: soil metagenome
Description: partial contains 5.8S ribosomal RNA, internal transcribed spacer 2, and large subunit ribosomal RNA
Rfam family: 5.8S ribosomal RNA (bases 1-122)
Source: RNAcentral
GAUGAAGAACGUAGCGAAAUGCGAUACUUGGUGUGAAUUGCAGAAUCCCGUGAACCAUCGAGUCUUUGAACGCAAGUUGCGCCCGAAGCCAUCAGGUUGAGGGCACGUCUGCCUGGGUGUCACAUAUCGUUGCCCAAUGCCUAUUGCAGUGCAAUAGGAAUUUCUAGGGCGAAUGAUGGCUUCCCGUGAGCGUUGUUGCCUCGCGGUUGGUUGAAAAUCGAGUCCUUGGUAGGGUGUGCCAUGGUAGAUGGUGGUCGAGUUAGAACGAUACCGAUCAUGUGCAUGCUCCCCAAAAUAUGGCCUCUAUGACCCACACGCGUCUUUUGACGCUCAUGACGAGACCUCAGGUCAGGCGGGGCUACCUGCUGAAUUUAAGCAUAUCAAUAAGCGGAGGA